Long non-coding RNA from Sorghum bicolor (sorghum), 4181 nucleotides. RefSeq lists it as uncharacterized. Lineage: Eukaryota; Viridiplantae; Streptophyta; Magnoliopsida; Poales; Poaceae. The record is from RefSeq and is a predicted model, not a curated record. The transcript is spliced from 3 exons.
CAUUUGAGUUAUCAGAAUGAUACCCAAUAACAUGCAUGUUAGGACGAUGUGAGUUAUGAGAUUCUCUAGAAAUACUUCAGCUUUCAAUGGCUGAUGUUUCUUUGUAAAAAUUAAUUAAUAGUGGGAAACUCAAAGUACUCGGUUAUUUUAAUAUUAGAACGCAAGCCAACAAAAGCCAAAGCAGCAAGAUCUUUUUUAAAAAUUGUCAAAUUAAAAUAUCCAUUUUUAAUGUCUCUGAAUUCAUGAGUUUAUCAAAGUGCUCUUGGUACUUUUUAAUACUAGAACGAAAGCCAACAAAAACCAAAGUAGCAAGAUCUUUUUUUAAAAAUGUCAAAUUAAGAUAUCAAUUUUUAAUGUCUCUGAAUUCACGAGUUUAUCUAUAAGUGUUCCACGAGUUAGGAAGAGUUUCCAACAAGAAAAAUAUGUCAUGGACUCGGACUGACAAAACUAGCUUAGGUCAGUUCCAAAACUGAACUAGACCGGUUUCAACAAUGCAUGGCAGCCUUCCCUAGAAAAAAUAGCAUGGAGUGGUUUAGAAACAGGACUAAGACGGUUUUGACUAUUCCUUUGGCCGAGGGACCCCAAACCGGCCGGUUUCUAAAUCAGCUUGUGCUGGUUUUUUCUGUGUCUUUCCAAAUUAAAUUCGGUCAAAUUCAAUCCUUUUUAUUCCUUCUGUUUGCAUGUGAUUUUCUAGUUCAUCUUCCACUUUUCGAUCAUAUUUUGGCCAUCUAACACCAGGAUUGGUACAUGAGGGUGUCAAACAAAGGUAAACAAAGGGUAUCCAAUACGGGAUUUUCUUUUCUCAUGGGAAAAGCACGAGAAAAUUGCUAUUAUGGGACUCUAAACAUGUCGCUUCGCUAAAAUAGGACUCCUAAUAUUGGCUUCUCUAAAACAGGACUCCAAACGUUGCCAAUAAGCUAUACAUGACAUUUGGUUUAUUUUAAUCAUUUUUUAAGUCUGAAAUACAUGUAUUUUAUCGUAUUGACCGUAUUGCCCUUCUGCUAAUCUAAUCUCUCUGUACGUGAUUACUUGGUUCAUUCUGGUCGCGAUUCGCAUCGAGGUCUCGCGGGAGUGCGCGGCGCUCGUUCCGUCACCGCCGCUCGCCACCAAGACCGCCGCCCGUCGUUCCCCUCCCCCACGCGAGACGGCCACGCCAACGUGAGCCCUUCAUGGAGGGAGAUCCUCCGGCCGAAGAUGUCCACGUUGAGGCGAUCGGCAUGCACGCGGAGGCAAGGAAAGCUCUAGCCCUAGGUGAUGGCGGUGCCUUAGGCGCGUCGGGCCCUGUUGCCUUGGCCAUGGCGGUGCCUGGCGUCCUUCCACAGCCAGCCGAGGCUCCAGCAGAUGGCCUCCAGCAGCUGGACGCGGCUCUUGGAGGGCAGGCCACGACGGCUGGUGGCUUGGCCGCUCAGGCUGCAGUGAAGAACCCUAGCGAUGCACAGCCCAAGCAAGAGCACUACUGCCUACUGCUCCUGUUCCGGCAAUAGAGUAUAACCUUCCCGUUGUUCAAGUAGAAAGGUCUCAAGUUAAUGACGUAGAAAAUAUGGAAAGAGUUGAUUGGGCUACCAUACAGAUAGUUGAGACACAUGAUGAUGAAGGUCGAAUUGAAAUUAUGAGUGAGAGUCAGAUGUGUGAGCUUUUAGGCUUGAGAGAUGAGGGCACACCAAAUAUACCUACACAAGGAUUUGAUUGCCGAACGGAUGAACAAGGCAAUGAUAAUGAGCUUGGGCAAGAUAUUGAUGGUGCUGCCAUUCCUACUAAUGAUGUCGUACCGGGUGAGAUCAUCAUUUCAUAUGAUAAGAACAACCCAUCAAUGAAGGUAGGGACACAGUACCCAACAAUGGAAGAGUUCAAGUUGGCAGUUCGGCAAUUUGCCAUCAAGAAGGAAUUCCAUCUAGGAGUAGAGAAGUCAUGUAAGCAGAGAUACAGGGCUUAUUGCAAGUCUGGUGAUAAAUCGACGGGCCCUUGUCCCUGGAAGAUAAAUGGCAGAAAAUUGGAUGGCAGCGCAACUGUGGAGGUAACCGUUUUAGUUGAUAAACAUGAAUGUGUGUCUAGCCAGAGGAUGCAGAUUACAACUCCAAGUUGCAAGUGGGUAGCUAGCAAGGCUGUGAGUAUUCUUAGAGUCCCAUAAUAGCCAUUUUCUCGAAAAGCACCACCAUUCGUUUAUAUUUCAAGGCAAAGUAUCAACUAUACUAGCAAGAUAUUCUCAUUCGUUGCUCGACUCAAUAAGUGUCUCGUUUGUAAUGUUCUCCCCCAUUUAAGUAACGUGGAACGGUUGUAGUACAACUCUAACUUACUCACUAUGUAGAAUGGAGCAUGAAAUACGAAGAAUGGAGCAUAGAAUUCUUAUUGUGUGCUUUGUCCAUCAAAUUGUUGUAAAUGAAAUGGUUGUAAGAGAAUCUAUGAGGAAAAAAUUGGUUUAUCAUGGUUAUCUCUUACAACCACUUCGUUUACUCAUUAUAAUGGAUGUUUAUUUGUCACCUUAUAUACAUGUUCAACUUGGAGAAAACCAUCAAUCCUACAUUUCAAAAAAAUACGUUUUAAAAAAAGCAUCAAUCCUUGGGUUUCAUCAGCUCAAUCAAAUCCUCGACAAGUUGCCUAAUCAUCACUCUAUAUUUCCAUUUCGUGGGUUAUGUCUUAUAACGUUUGUCUAAAUCUAUCAUUUAAAUAACCGAAUAAAAGCAUCAAUCAAUCCUUAAACAUGUAUACAAAGUGAAAAUUAGGAAACUAGUCAAGGCUUGAUUGAUGGUUAAAACACUCAUCAAGGAUUGAUUGAUAGUUUUCUUUGGUACUUUUAAUGGUAGAUUUUGGACAUAUUAUGAAGCAAGGGUUACUUCCACCGGAAUUUUUUUUGAGGAAUACUUCCAUUGGAUUGAGUAUAUUCAAUAUAAGAAUAACUUGUCGUCUUCUUGAGGAGGUGACAUAUAAAGGCAGUGAAUUUCCCCAUAGUGCAAACAAAUCGAUUCACUUAAUUAGUACAAGCUAAAAAACAGGUAUGCAACAUUUAUUCUUUGAAUUGUGGAUGCUAAAGAUUACACCCCCUAGCUACUAACAACAUCCAGAAGUGAUGGAACAAGCAAAAUUAUCGACUAGUAUCAAAAUUUGGGUAUCGCUUUUGUAUGCCUAGUUCUGGUUUUAAAUGUAGUAAUCAUAGGGUAUUUAGAACCAGAAAUGAAGGACAACUCUAGUAGUGACCGCCUAGGAACACGCUGAAAGUGCUGUAUCUCAAUGUGGCCUCUCUCUUUUUAUGUUAGAACUAGGGUUUUGAUCCUUCGUUGGCAGCCCAUAAUCUGGACAAUCCCACGCGAUAUCCAUGCAUUAGUUUAACGAUGGAACGCCAACUUUGGUUUUGAGCGAAUACACCCCGUUCCCUCCAAAAGAAAUUGCUGAAAUGCCUAACCCUAGUCAAAUCCAUUGCAAUAACGAACCCACCAUGCACAUCCCUAGCCGAUUUUACUUGUUUUCACCAACAUGGAGUCACUACAUGCCAUGCUAUACCUUAGCCAUGCUUAUUUUAGUGCUGGGACGAUUAUGCUCAUUCCCUGUGCUUAUUUACAAUAAAUAAAUAAUUUUGUAGGUAGAGAAACUGGUGUGAGACACUACUAAGUAUUUCCUCAUCGAUCAUUUUGGUAGACUUUGAAAAAAUUAGUAUCAUCACAUCACUAAAAGAAGGCAGCAUUUGCUUAGGCAAAUGUGUAGUGGGAUGAACUUUAUAUCAAAACUGAAUAGAGGUGGCUAGGGAUGUAAACGGAUCUGAUGUGGAUGGAUCCCUAUAUUGAUACAAAUACAUAUAGCUACAUUAUUCUUCGGGUUUGGAUUCAGAUACAAAUAGUAUCAGCUAUGUCGGAUAAGAUAUGAAUGGGUAUCGACAUCAUAUAUGAUAUAUAUCCAAAUUUUAGUAUCUGGAUACGGUCCUAUGGUAUGGAUACUGAAUGCCUGGAUUCGGAUAUAGAAUGGAUACGAAGCCCUUCAGCCAACGGUUAAUUUGGGAAUAUCCAUACAAGUUACACCCCUACUGAUGAACCUUUUGCAACAAAAUAUUAACAUUAAGGGUAAUUUUUGCAAUAUUUCAUAAAGUGAAUGGUUGAUGGACAACGGAAAUGGCACAUAAAUGACCCUAAUAAUUCCUACACAUGUAGUUGGACAAUCAUAAUGGUGGCAAUGCAAAGAAAGGACAGAGUUCG